GACGAACGCUGGCGGCGUGCUUAACACAUGCAAGUCGAACGGAAAGGCCCUGCUUUUGUGGGGUGCUCGAGUGGCGAACGGGUGAGUAACACGUGAGUAACCUGCCCUUGACUUUGGGAUAACUUCAGGAAACUGGGGCUAAUACAGGAUAGGAGCUCCUGCUGCAUGGUGGGGGUUGGAAAGUUUCGGCGGUUGGGGAUGGACUCGCGGCUUAUCAGCUUGUUGGUGGGGUAGUGGCUUACCAAGGCUUUGGCGGGUAGCCGGCCUGAGAGGGUGACCGGCCACAUUGGGACUGAGAGACGGCCCAGACUCCUACAUGAGGCAGCAGUGGGAAGUAUUACACAAUGGGCGGAAGCCUGAGGCAGCAACGCCGCGUGCGGGAUGACGGCCUUCGGGUUGUAAACCGCUUUCGCCUGUGACGAAGCGUUAGUGACGGUAAUGGAUAAAUAAGCACCGGCUAACUACGUG
Molecule: ribosomal RNA, 468 nt
Filed under: uncultured bacterium
Lineage: Bacteria
Description: partial 16S ribosomal RNA
Rfam family: Bacterial small subunit ribosomal RNA
Source: RNAcentral